RNAcentral lists this ribosomal RNA (474 nucleotides) under uncultured bacterium. RNAcentral describes it as "partial 16S ribosomal RNA". It matches the Rfam family "Bacterial small subunit ribosomal RNA", at positions 28 to 507 of the family's 1533-position model. The record is from RNAcentral.
GAUGAACGCUAGCGGCAGGCCUAACACAUGCAAGUCGAGGGAGGAGCCUUCGGGCUUCGACCGGCGUACGGGUGCGUAACGCGUAUACAAUCUGCCUUUCACAUAGGGAUAGCCCGAAGAAAUUUGGAUUAAUACCUAAUGGUAUAUAGAUGUGGCAUCACCUUUAUAUUAAAGCUGAGGCGGUGAAAGAUGAGUAUGCGUUCUAUUAGCUAGUUGGAGAGGUAACGGCUCCCCAGGGCGACGAUAGAUAGGGGUUCUGAGAGGGAUAUCCCCCACACUGGUACUGAGAUACGGACCAGACUCCUACGGGAGGCAGCAGUGAGGAAUAUUGGACAAUGGUCGGAAGACUGAUCCAGCCAUGCCGCGUGCAGGAAGACGACCUUAUGGGUUGUAAACUGCUUUUGCAGGGGAAGAAUAAGGACUACGCGUAGUUUGAUGACGGUACUCUGCGAAUAAGCAUCGGCUAACUCCGUG